AAAGCCGGGAGGCAUCUUGACAGCCACCAGGGAGAUUGGAGGUUGGGAGGUGAGUGGGAGAUGGCCUCCUAGCAGCUCCUUACAAGCCUUCCGUCCUCUUGUGUUCUGGGUGCACCCAGGACUCAGGUUAGCUGUGGUUUAGGCCUUGCCUGCGUGGCCUGUUUGGAUGCUUGCAAGGCCACCAGGGCACCACGGUGGAGCUGUGUCCCCGUGGUCCUCUUGCUUUGUGCUGUGACUUGAUGCCUCCACGCAAGCAUGGUCCUCUCACCUCUGGAUGGUGCUCACCUGGCUGUCUGCUCCCCACUGCCCUGUCCCACCUGUCUCCCCUGUCUUCAGAAUCUGUUCCAUAAUCAGAUACUGUAUGAUUCAGGGUGCUCUUGGGACCCUUUCUUCUGUCUGCCCUACUCUUUAUAGCCAACCUAAGCUCACCAGAUGACAGUUGUUUGAGAAUCCUAGGCCGUGCUGUGGGGGGAUAUAUCCAGAGCCGCUGGACCCUGCCAGUGUUGCCUCACUGCUUGUGCCAGCCGUGUUUUGAAAUCUUCAUUUUUGAUGAACUGUGUUGUCACUUAAUCUUAAACAUGGUGUGGGUAAAGUUGAUGAGGAAGGUGGAUUGCCAUAUUGAACUUACCUUUAUGAGGCCAAAAUGGAAGAUGAGAAUUCUUAAAUUUUAUUUUUUAAAGGUAAUAUUUGUUGUUUUCUCUCCUCAAAUACGGAAGCAAUAUAUUCAUUGCAGGAAAUUUAGAAAAGUACAUAGAAAAAAAUCAUGUAUAGCCCCACCAUCCAGAGCAAUGCUUGUUUAAAAUAUUUUAUACUUUGUAUUUUAUAUUAAUGUGAAUAUUGAUAUAUAAGAGCAUCUCAAUGGUAUGUUGAGAUAUUGUAUACAAUGUAUAUAUUAAAAAACAAAGAAUGCAUGUCUUCGGGUCAGAAGGUAAGCUUACAUGAUGGGAAUUUACCAAAAUAUAGAUAUUUGUUUAUCCAUUGAUUCAUUUUCUCUCAGAUAUGUGUAUUUUUAUAUAUACAUGUAGAUAAAUUUCUUUCAUAAUGGGGAUUGUGCUGUAAAUAUGGUUUUAUGUUUUUCAUUUUCUCUUAUAAAAUUAAUACUUCUAAAUAAUUUUCUAAAACAUGAUUGUUAAUUACUGGAGGUAAUACUUAGAGUGUAUUAUAAUUUAUUUAACCAAUCUAACAAUAGUAGUUAUCAUAGCAUUUAUUGAGUCCUUAGAGUUAGAUUUUGGUCCUUCAGCUGUUUUUUUUUUUUUAAACUCUUACCAAUAGUAAUAUAAUAUUUUCCUUGCCUGUCUUUGGGUGUUUCCUCAGGAUGCAUUUUUAAAGUCAUUUUUUUGAAGCAAGGGAAUGAAACUUGUGAUACGUAUUGAGUAAGCAGGAGAUAAAAUACUGCAUAUGUUAUUUUUCAGUUUUAUGUGGGUAAUUUGUAAUGUAGGUUUGAGGAUUGGCAUUCUACUCACUGGAGUCUUUGUUAAUUCACUGAAAAUAUUUCCUGAGCAUUUGCUGAGGACCAUACAUUAUAUUAAGUACUUGGGUAUCACAAAGACAUACAAGACAUUGCCUCUGACUUCUAGGUCACCAAAUUCUGAACGUGACGGUGACCUGUAUACAUUAUUAUUUAAGGUAGCAUGUUAUAGGUACUAUGCUAAUUGUACAAAAACAACAACCGAAAACCUUGUUGCUGUCAAGUCGGUUCCGACUCACAGUGACUCAGUAGGACGGAGUAGAACUGCCCCAUAGAGUUUCUAAGGAGUGGCUGGUGGAUUCGAUCCGCCAACCUUUUGGUUAGCAGCUAUAGCUCUUAAACACUGUACUACCAGGGCUCCAGUUGUACAAAACCAACAAUAGAACGUGCUGUAAAAUGUCAUAGAUGGAAGAGAUGACUUUUGGCUGGGGUGAUCUAGGACAGUGUCUGGGAAGAGAUGGGUUAAGAGCUUGGCUUUUGGGUAGGUGGUUCUUAAAAAUAGAAGAACAGUUCAGGCAGCAGGGGAUGGCUGUAGGAAAAGCCUGUUGUUGGCUACCAUUGAAUCAACCCCCAACUCAUGGCGACCCCAUGCACAAUGGACUGUUGUGAUCCAUAGAGUUUUCAUUGGCUGAUUUUUGGAAAUAGAUUGCCAGGCCUUUCUUCCUAGUCUGCCUUAGUCUGGAAGCUCCAUUCAAAUAUGUUCAGUAUUAUUACAACAUGUAGCUGUGCAUGAGGCGCAUUGGCUGGGAAUUGAACCUGGGUCUCCUGAAUAGACGGUGAGAAUUCUGUCACUGAAUGACCAAUGCUUAGAGGUGAGAGAGUACGAGAUGUAUUUGAAUCAUAGUGAAGGGAGCCAGUGUACUCAGAGCAGAAUAAUCCAUACAAGUUUUGGGCCUACUGCAACCUAAUGGGUUCCUGUAAUGUAGGGCCCUGAAUAUCAGGCCAGGGAGUGCCAGGUUUUGGGGUAGUAGGAUUGCUUAUAUGGGGAUGAGACGGGAAUGGGAAAAACGCUGGAGCCGAUGAGAUCAGGUUCAUUGGUUCAGUGAGAAAGUCAGAGUGUGGGAUGGUUGGAUUGGAAAGGGAGUUACAGGAGCUACUCCACCGCUGUAUCCUCCUUCAGACAUCACAGGUAGGGUAAGACUGCAGUCAAAGCAAAGGCUUUUAACAAAAGCUGCAUCCCCUGCCCCGACAUUGAAUCAUUAUUGAAAGAAUGAGCAAAGAAGCAGUGUAAUUUUGUGCCUCAAGUUUGCAGAGAGAGGGAGGGUUCAGAGUUGAGCCUGAAUUUUUGGAGGAUGGGUGACUUGGACGAUUGACGUUUUGUUGUUUUUGUUAGGUGCCAUUGAGUCGGUUCCGACUCAUAGUGACCUUAUGCACGAUAGAAUGGAACACUGCUCGGUCCUGCGCCAUCCUCACAGUGGUUGCUAUGCUUGUGCCCAUUGUUGCAGCCACUAUGUCAUUCCAUCUCCUUGAGGGUCUUCCUCUUUUUUGCUGACUCUCUACUUUACCAAGCAUGAUGUCCUUCUCCAGGGACUGAUCCCUCUUGAUUACAUGUCCAAAGUAUGUGAGAUGUAGUCUUUCCAUCCUUCUAAGGAGCAUUCUGGUUUUACUUCUUCCAGCACAGAUUUGUUUGUUCUUUUGGCAGUCCGUGGAAUAUUCAAUACACCAACACCAUAAUUUAAAAGCAUCAAUUCUUCUUCAGCUUUUCUUAUUCAUUGUCCAGCUUUCGCAAACAUAUGAAAACUAAACUUGUUGCCUUCAAGUCCAUUCUGACUCAUAGCAACCCUAUAGGUCUGAGUAGAUCUGCUUCAUAAGGUUUCCAAAGAGUGGCUGGUGGAUCCAAACUGCCAACUUUUUGGUUAGCAUCCAAGCUCUUAACCACCGCACCACCAGGGCAUAAUGCAGGUUGUUAAUGAGUCUUCCUCCAGUCCUUUCUGACCACUAGAUAUAUGUUUUAAGCUAGUUAAAAAUUAUGUAUUUAGCUGAUUUAAAAAUGUCUGGGAGGGAACAGAUAUACCAUUACGAUGCACUUAGAGUGUGUGUUCAUAAUGAACGAAACGAACCCCUUGCUGUCGAGUCAAUUCUGACUCAUAGUGACCCUAUAGGACAGAGUGGAACUGUCCCACAGAGUUUCCAAGGAACACCUGGUGAAUUUGAACAGCUGAUCUCUUGGUGAGCAGCCCCAUAGCUCUUAACCACCACGCCACCAGGGUUUCCAUGUGUUCAUGGCAGUGUAAAAUACAGAGAGAUGACGUAUUUCUAAAGGGUUUGAGAUUCUUACAUGAAAGUCAGCUUUAACAGGUUCAUUACCUACUUUAGUAUGUGUUUGAAGCAUUCCACUUCUGUGAAUUGUAUGUUUUUGUACUUCAUUUUUUCCAGCUAUUGUUUUAGUGCUUUUUUUUUAAAAUGAGUUUUUUAAAUAGAUAACUCUUUUAAUUGUAACUUACAAAACCAUCUUCUUUUGCAGAUCAAGUUCUUCAUCAAAUCACAGGCUGUGUAAGGCUGACUUUGGGAAUGGUUGGAAGUGGGGAAUCGGGUCCUCCUCAGAAUGUGGGAAUUUCUGUCCUGCUUUGUCCUAGUGCUUGGUUUAAGUCCAAGAUCACUACGUAGAUGGAAACUCAUCAGUUAAAAUAUUUUUUAACGACAAGUGGACUAAAGCAAAUGCGGUUUGUAUCCUGCUGAACUUUGGACGUUAGAGCUUCGGAAGGUGAAAAAUUCCAAAUGCAGUGAGGGACUUCUAUCACUGAGAAGGUCAGGAGAUUCCUAAUCUUAUCAGUCUCAGUGUAAAGAGGAAGAUAAAACCAGCAGAGGAGGACCAAGGCCCAGACUGUACUGGGCUCCAUACUCUGUUCAACAGUCACUCCUGUGUCAGACUUACCUGGUAAUGUUUACUGAGCUGGGGAGGCUUGUGGAGUGAGCGCACAUAAGAUGGGUUGUCUUCCCUGGAGGACAUUUGAAAUUGAGAGAAAGCAAGAGUAACCAGAUUUGAUACUCAGCUGGAAAAGAAAAUAAUGAGGAGACAUUUCUGUGCUACACACUACCAAUUGAAAAAAUGUUGAACUUCAGAAGUAAAACACUCAGAGGAAUAAAUAAGCAGAGCCCAGAUUCUCCUUAAUUCGUGUGCUGUUAUUGUCAAGAUUACCUGGUAAUGGAUUACCUAUUGCAAAUUGAAGUGUUUUAAGUUAGCUUCCUCGUGCUUUGGGGUUGUCACUUCUAUUUUAUCCCUCUUAAUCUCUGUGUGCAGGAACCCUGGUGGCGCCGUGGUUAAGUGCUUGACUGCUAACCCAUAGGCUGGUAGGUCAAACCCCGCAGCCGCGCUGGGGGAGAAGGAUGUGGCAGUCUGCUUUUGCCUUGGUCAUCUAGUGCUGCUGUAACAGAAGUGCCACAAGUGGAUGGCUUUAACAAAGAGAAGUUUAUUCUCUUAGGGUCUAAGAGGCUAGAAGUCCUAAUUCAGGUCGGCAGCUCCAGGAGAAGGCCCUCUCUCUGUUAACUCUGAAGGGAGGGCCCUGCCAUCAGUUUUCCCCUAAUUGAGGAACUUCUCAGCCCGAGGACACCCUAUCUCCCAGUGCUUCUUUGUUGGUGGUGUGAGGUCCCCUUGUCUCUCUGCUGGUUUUUCUCUUUUAUAUCUCAAAAGAGAUAGAUAUAAUACGCAACCUAAUCUUGUAGAUUGAAGGUUGCCUCAUUAACAUAACUAUCUCUAAAACUGCCUCUUUGCCAUCACAGAGACAGGAUUUACAACACAUAGGAAAAUCACCUCAGAUGACAAAAUGGUGGACAGUCACGCAAUACUGGGAAUCAUGGCCUAGCCAAGUUGACAGAUAAUUUUUUAGGGACACAGUUCAAUCCAUGACAGCUUCUGUAAAGAUUUACAGCCUUGAAAACCCUACGGGGCAGUCCUACUGUGUCCUCCUGUAGGGUCGCCAGAGUCAGAAUCAACUCCACAGCAACGAGUUUGGUAUUUUUUGGUUAAUCUUUGUUUGGAGGGAGCGCUGGUGGUACGUUAGUUAAGCACUCGGCUGCUAACCAAAAAGUCUGUGGUUCAAACCUGCCAGCCGCUCAGCUGGAGAAAGAUGUGGCAGUCUGCUUCCAUAAAGAUUACAGCCUUGGAAAUCCUGUGGGGCAGUUCUACUCUGUCCUUUCAAGAGUUGCUCUGAGUCGAAAUCAACUUGACAGCAAUGGGUUUCUUUUGUUGUUUUUUCAGUCUUUGUAUGGAGUCUCUGGGUGGUGGAAAUGGCUAAGCACUUGACUAUUAGCCAAAAGGUUGAUGGUUCGAAUUCACCCAAAGGUGCCUCAGAAGACAGGCUUGGCAGUCUGUUUCCAAAAGGUUCACAGCCUUGAAAACCGUAGAGAGCUCAAUUCUACUCUGACACACAUGAGGACACACGUGAGGUCACACAUGGGGUCGCCAUGAGUCUGAAUUGGCUUUAGGCAACUAACAACAGCAGCAGUCUUUGUAGGCUUAGAAGUUUUCCGUUAAGUAUAAUAUUGGAUAAAAAGAAAAUGAUUAAAAAAAAAUUUAAAAAUUAAAAAAAAAAAAAAGAUAAAAAAGAGAAUGAUUAGAAAUCCAAAUAAAAUCUGCACUUUAGUUUUAAUAUUGUACUAGUGUUAAUUUCUUAGUUUUGAAGUUUGUCCUGUGGCUAUAUAAUGUGUUAACAUUAGGUAAGCUGGGUGAAGAGUGUAUGGGAACUGUCCUGCAAACCAAAAAUUAUUUCAAAUAAAGAGUUAAAAACCGUUAAUUUAUUAGCUACAGAGUUGUUAUUGUAUUCCCAAACCAGAUAGAAGUGGUUUGUCUGUGUGGGGAAUGGGCAGAGAUUCUUUUCUCUUAGGAUGGUUGAAUUCCUUUUCUUUUUCAUUAACCUAAAGAAUUGAGAGUUGACAGAGUCUCUCACUAGGACGAAGAUGCUAUGUUAAGGUGUGCUUAGCAAAGGCAGACUUGUGGUGUCUGAAGUGAAGCCACUGGCUUUCUAAAAGUAUUACAGAAUUCUACUUCAGCUUGUUAUACAUUUGUUUUUGUAAUGAGAUGGUGGCGAUCAUGUGCCUUUUGAAAAUAAAUUAGAUUAAAAAAAACUACCCAUGUACAUAUUUUUUUUGUAAGAUCUGAGACUUCAUGUAUAAGUUGAGUGAUCAAACUCAACUGAUUUGGAUCUAAAUUUAAGAAAUGAGGUUUUUUUUCUCUUGAAAUGAAGUGACUGUGAAUUAGUUUCCAAAGAAUGGUGGAAAACUUUCUUUGUGCAGUGGCGACAUCAUUGGACUAAGUAUGACAUCUGUGGAUUUCACCUUCAAAGGAUAUCACUUAGAUGCAUACUUCUAUAUUUAUUGUAAAUUAUUAGUGAUAUCUGUACUAACAGAGAAAUAAAAGUCCAAGGAUUUUCAGCAGUUGCUCUGUCCUAGGCCAUGCUGUAGCUUAGUGUAGACACUAGCCUGAAAACUUGCCCUGCACUUCCAUUGCUUGUUAAAGCCAAUUUUAUUAUCUUUAAGCUUACCCGUUUCCUUUUGCUUUUGGCAGUGCUGUCCAAUGGAGCUUUCUAUGAUGAUAGAAGUGUUCUGUAUCUGCACUGUGCCUUAUGGUAGCCACCAGCUACCUGUGGCUGUUGAACACUUGAAAUAUAGUUAGUGUGACUGAGAAAUUGAAUUCUAAAUUUUAUUUUAAAGAAUUUAAAUGUAAGUAGCCACAUUUGGCUAGCGGCUAGCAUAUUGGACAACCCAGAUCUAGGGCUACCGUUGCUAGUUCCUUGAAUGGUAUACUUUGACUGUAAAGGAAGGGAAUGAACGCAGACAUUUAAAGAUAACUGAUUUAUGUAUUGUUCUAAUGUAAAUCUCCGUUAAAAGAGUUUUGAUUGGAGAAAGGAACUGACUUGAUAUGGGAACAGUGUUAUUAACUCCUUAUGUUGGUGUACCUUACUGGUAGCUUUUGAGUAUCAUAUUAAACCCUAAUUUUUUUUUCUAUAAGUUUUGUGAUGUCAGUAAAUAUACUUCUGUGAUGGUUAAGGUUGUAUGUCAACUUGGCUAGGCUAUGUUUUCCCAGUGGUUUGGCAGUUAUGUAAUGAUGUAAUCUGGCAGUUAUGUAAUGUAGUCAUCCGUUUUGUGAUAUGAUGUAGUUGUCCCCCAUUUUGUGAUCUGAUGUGAGUAACCAGUCAUUUGAAAAAGAAGUUUCCUUGGGGGGUGUGGCCUGCAUCCAGUAUAUAUACAGAUGUUCUGGCAAAGCUCACUUGCUCUGGGUCCUGCACCCAGCUCAUCACCUGACCUCCGGUUCCUGGGACUUGAGCCAGCAACCUGCUGUAUUGCCUGCUGAUCUUGGGAUUCAUCAGCCUGCGAAGCCUGUGAGCCAGCAGCCUGCCAUCUUACCAGCCAGUCUUGGAUUCAUCAGCCUCUGCAACCCGUGAGCCAGUGGCCUGCCGCCUGACCUGCCAGUCUUGGAUUCAUCAGCCUCUGCAACCCGUGAGCCAGUGGCCUGCCGCCUGACCUGCCAGUCUUGGUUCAUCAGCCCCUGCAACCCGUGAGCCAGUGGCCUGCCGCCUGACCUGCCAGUCUUGGUUCAUCAGCCCCUGCAACCCGUGAGCCAGUGGCCUGCCGCCUGACCUGCCAGUCUUGGUUCAUCAGCCUCUGCAACCCGUGAGCCAGUGGCCUGCCGCCUGACCUGCCAGUCUUGGUUCAUCAGCCUCUGCAACCCGUGAGCCAGUGGCCUGCCGCCUGACCUGCCAGUCUUGGUUCAUCAGCCCCUGCAGCUACAUGAGUCAGGAGAAGUCUCCAGCCUCUACAACUGCAUGAGCCAUUUCCUUGAGAUAAAUCUCUGUUUGUAUGUAUAUUGACGGCACUGGGUGUUUACAUACCCGCUUCACUGGUUUUGCUUCUCUAGCAAAUCCAGCCUAAAACACUUCUGUCCCAUCAUUUCUAAUGACUAGGCAGUAUUCUGUUUUAUGGAUGUGCCAUCAUUUACUUACCCAUUCUUUUAUUUUUGCUUUUUCAGAUUUUUGUUGUAUAUGAUUCAGAGAUGACUAACCAUGUACAUAUAUUUCGGGGAGUACAUUUUUGCUUAAUUCCUUAGGAAAUCCUGGAAUUAUAAUUGCCAAAUCAAAGGGUAAACACCCAUUGCCAUCAAGUCACUUCUGACUCAUAGUGACCCAUAGGACAGAAUAGAAUUGGCCCAUAAGGUUUCCAAGGAGCGGCUGGUGGAUUUGAACUGCCAGCCUUUUGGUUAGCAGCUGAGCUUUUAACCACGGUGGCACCAGGGCUGCAGUCAAAGGGUAGGUGUACUUUUUUUUUUUUUUAAUUGAUACUCCCAAAGUGUUCCCUGCUGUCCCCCAAAGGUUGUACCAGUUUACCCUCAAACUGACAUUUGUGAAGGUUGUUGCUUAGGGUAAGAAACACUUUAUGGGCUAUGUAUUGACACACAGAAGGCUUCAAGGUGACAUCCACUGACUCAUGAAUCUUCUGUUUGUCUAUUCUGAUUGUUCGGGGCAAAAAUAAAGUGGCCCUGGAUAUGUGGUGUAUUUCAUACUUGGCUUUCUGUGGGUGUUUUCAGCAAAGGGCUUGUGUUUACUUGCGGGAGGGUCGUCUUGAAGUAGAGGACCCUCCAUGGGGCAGGGUGGAGGCCCAUUUGGCAGGUCUGUUUGGGAGCUCUUGCCAACACUCUGCCUGGGGUUCUGCACCAUGCUGCCUGUUGUGUCGUUUAAUAGAGAAACUCGGUUCCAGGGACUGUAAGCACAGAGCCAUUCAGUUCCCUCUGCAGGGGUCGAACAACAGGGGCUGUUGUGUUCUUGCCCAGGGCAGCAGCGCCACCGCCCUGUCUGAUACGGACGCCCCAUCUGAGCACAAUGGGGUGUUGUGAGUAGGCUGGGCUGAUCUUCGGCUGAUUUUGCCAACUGUCUGGUGUCAGUGCUUCAGUUUGGCAUUGAAAUUAGAUGCUUAUUUUAAAUUUGGGGUAAAAGGAGACCUUUGGCUUUUUUCACACUUUUGUUAGGAUGCUGUCUUUGUUUUGAAAAAGGUCUCAAGUUCAGAGACUUUUAGAAAGAGAGUGGUCUGCAUUUUGUUGUUGUUGUUAAGUAAUAAUUUAAAAAUUGUGACAACAGACCUGUACUAAAAAGUUAACCUGGGGCAGUGUAUGAUCACUAGGAAGGACGUGAAAUCCCCAAGUUGUAUAGUAUAUGGUGAAAAGGCUUUUUCUUUCAUCAGGUACUGAGCAUGUGCGGAACGUGCGGCUGUGUGUGGAUGGGGAUAACAGUACUUGCUUAGCAGGGAGCAGAGAGUUUCUGUGAGGGAAAUAAGAUACACAAGGAAAAGUCACAAAACAAGAAGUCGUUAUUAAUUAUAUGAGGAGGUGAAAGAGGCAAAGGGAUUAAUGUUGAGUACCUGUUCAGUGCCUGGUAUUUAAUGUGCCAUAAGGCAGUAUUAGCCAUAGGUAGUAUUGCGUGGGUGGUACAGGCCUCGUGUCCAAAGAGGUGUCCAAAGAGGGAGAGGAGACCGUGGUCAGAAUGGCGGGAGGCCUUCACGGAGCAGGGGUGGAGCCUGAGCUGAACCUUGCAGCAUGGAUUUUCAUGAAGAGGAGUGGAGCAGCGAUCUAGGCGCGGAGAGUGGUGCAAGGCUUGUGUGAGGAUGUGGCUGUCUGUCCAUUCUGUGAGGGCAGGAGCUAGAUGCAUCUUGCUCACCCCUGUGUUCAGCGUCUGGCAUGGUGCUGGCCCUCAUAGAUACUCAGCAAAGAGUAAUGGAAUAAAUGACAUACAGUAGGCACUCACUAUUUGUUGCAUAAACUGAACUUGAAGUGAAUGUUUCUGAGAGAAAUUAAUUCUGGCUGAUAGCAAGAUUCACAUAGAUGUGAGAAGUCUGGAGAGGGCGGUUGAGGCCACGUGGAAGGUCAGGGAAUUUGAGCUCUGCUCUCUAGGCACCGAGGGAACUUUCUCAGCAGGGUAGUGGUGUGGUUAAGUUUGAGCUUUGAGGUGACUCACUGAGUACUAGUGAGUAGGAUAUACUGGAAGGGUGAUUAAAAGCGGAGAAAUCAGAAUUCCUGUCUGGAAACAGGGAUGCUUCCUGAUCUCAUUGGCUGUUGGCUGUUCAUAUCCUUAAAUUUAUCAUUGAAAGGCAGGAGUAUCCGGAGGUCAAGAGCUGAGCCUUGAUGGUCUGGUUGCCAGGUAGGAUUCCUACUCCUCCAGCUUGAGAGCCUGGGCCUGUUACCUAACAUCCUUAAGACUCAAUUUCCUCAUUGAUAAAAUGGGGAUAGUAAAAUAUCUACCUCGUAGAAUUGUUUGGCAAUAAGACGAAAUAGUAAUGUAAGGUGCUUGAAACAAUAUAAGCAAUCAAAAAAUAUUAGUUAUUAUUAAUAAUGUAACAGGUAAAGGUUAUUUCUUGUGAGAUUAAUAUGGGCCCUAAUCUCAUGGAUUUUAUAGAAUAAAGCAAAAACUUUAAAACAGACCACUGAGAUUCUGGAAUGUAAUUCUGAGAGAGGCUGGGUCCCUGGAGCUGGCUUCCUCCGUAGAAGUCACAUCGUUUCUGCACACGUUCAGCUGUGCAGCCCAAUAGCCCUGUCUUUUCUCUUUCCUCUGGAGAAGUGUCACCUGGAGGUGGGGCAGAGGUUGUCAGGGCGCACCUAUGUAUAUACAGGUCGUGCCCAGGUUACGAAUGUCAGGCUUAUGUACAACCCCUGUAAAAGCCUAUUAUAUGAAAAAUCCCAGGUACAUGCAAUGGCUUGUAAUAACAGAUGGGCGCUACUUUGCGACGCAUGUCAAAACAUUAUUAUUAUUACUGUAUUAUGUUAAAAAUAGUGUAUUUGAAAGUGUUUCUUUAAUGUUUUUUAUGCAUAGAAAGGUACACUGUAUGCUGUGUACUUAAACAUUUGGCUGACGUUAAAUAUGAGCCUACCUAACUGUUCUGACUUACGUACAAAUCCAACUUAAAGACAGAUGUAGGAACGCCACUCAUUUGCAAUCCGGGGACUGCCUCUGUAUCUCUUCCCUGGAGAUCUUGGCAGGUCUGCAGUUUGAAAGUAAUUUUCCUAAACCAAGAGAAUGUCUGUCUGAGUUACCAGAAGUGAAAGAUUUCAUUUAACAAAACCUCCUCUCAUGGGACCGCUAAUUUUGUCAGUUCUCCUGAAUAAUGAGCCAGAAAAGAAAGUCAGAUACCUAUCUUUCCUCUUGCACGCCCUUUAAAAAAUUUUGGAGUGUCUGUGUUGGUUUAAAGUGCCUGACUAAUACAUAGAGGGAAGACUUUUAUUUUUUAUUAACAUGAGGCAAUGGAUUAAAAUUAUUAGAAGAAUGUUUAGGUGCACAAACCCAGUGCUGUUGAGUCAAUUCUAACUCAUAGCAACUCUGUAGGAGAGAGUAGAACUGCCCCAUAGGGUUUCCAAGGCUGUAAAUCUUUAUGGAAGCAGACUGCAGAGUGGCUGGUGGGUUCAAAUUGCCUACCUUUUUGUUAGCAGCUGAGUGCUUAACCACUGCGCCACCAGGCCUCCUUGAUUUAGGAGCACAUGCUAAGAAAACUCCUGAAAGUAAGACAGAAGAGAAUUUGGAAUUGAUUAUAGACAGGCUACGGUGUCUUCUUGCCUGGAGGUCAUUAAAACACAGAUGAGAACUGCUUAUAUUUGGGAAGGCAACUCGGUGAUGGGAAAACAUCUGAACAGAUAUCGGAAGACCUGGUGUAAUGUUGACUCAGUCUCUAGCUGCAUGACCUUGGGCAAGUCUUGUACAUUUUCUGGGCUUCAAGUUCAUCCUCGUCUUCGAUCGUUGAUUUUUAGGCUGUGUCCUAGUGUUUUUCAUUUUUGGAAAUGAACUGUUCUGCCAUUAAAAUGGAAUAACCAUAGUCUUUUCCUAAUUUGCAAAAAAAUUAAAAAAAUGUGAAUUGACAGGAUUUUCUUCAUUCUGAGCUUUUCUUAUAUAUAAUUUUCUCAAUUUUUUUUGCCACUCCUCGUCUGCUACCAAAUGUUACAUAUGUCCCGGCUGUUUUCAUGGACACGAUGGAUUGUGGUUGUCAUGUUACACUCUGUUCAUAUAUCAUGGUCCUAUUUCUCCUUGUAAAAUCAGCCCUAGUUUUACGAUGAAGCUGCCCCUGUCCACAUUUCAUGGUGUUUUACAGUGUUACCUGGACAGCCUGUGCCUUAUGGGGGCUGCAGGAUUCGGGUGACUCCAGGACUUCUGCUCCGUUCACUGUCUGUGGGGCAGGGUGCUAUGGCACGUGAAAUACCAUCUAACCUGUGAUUUAAAAAGAAGGUUUUUGAUGGAGGGAGUUAUAAAAGCAGAGGGUUUAGAUCCGGAAGCAGCAUUGGAGAUCACCUUAUUCAGCUCUCGUUUAAUCAACCAGUUACCCUCGAGUCGACUCCAACUUAUGACGACCCCAUGUGUGUCGGGGUAGAACUGGGCUCUAUAGGGUUUUCAGUGGCUGAUUUAUCAGAAGUAGGUCACUAGCCUUUCUUCUGAGGCAUCUCUGGGUGGACUUGAACCUCUAACUUUCAGUUGGCGGCUGAGUGCGUUAACCAUCUGCACCACCAGUGGACUCCUUUUUUAAUCAAGAUUCAGGGUUACCCAGCCAAGGUUACGUGGCUGACGAGAGGCUCAGGUGGGCAGAGAGCAGAUCUGCAGACUCCAGGCUGGAGUACUCUCCUCUCCUGAAUCCUGAGUUCCCGUUGCCCGUUUGUCUUCAGAGAUGACUUAGUUUUUCCUACUUUCCUGGUGUGCAGGAAGGAGCAGCAUGGCCUGCCUGUUACCUUGGGAAACUUCCUGCUUAUCUCAUGUCAUGGAAACGCGCCUAGCUUGCUUUGUGGAAGUAGUCCAGUGGCAAACAUAUAAAAAGCAGCCUAGACUUGUAAAUUAUCAGCAGAGAUGGCCUUGCAGUGUAUCUUGGACAAGAUUAAUUAAGGGUGUAGACCGAGGUGCUGGUGAUAGCGGACUUCGCAGACAGAGGAACAGGGUAGAAGGAAUGAACCUUGAAAGAGGCCCCCGGGGACCUUGGCCCCUAUAGCACCAAAUUUCAGCCAGCCACAGGCAUCGGCCAACCUCUUAAGGGUAGGAACAUUGUUGGUUUGUGGGGGCGGGGGGGGCAUCACUUCUACAAAGCCAGGGAUGAAAGGCUCAACACAGCUUAGGGAAGUUGUGGUCUCAGGCAAGACUUAAACAAAACUGUUACUAUAGUCCUUGAAUACUUGGAUUCUUGCUGUAGGAGAAAACUGGAAGAAAUUCCAAUCAACUUUUUGUCGAAAAGAAUUGUGAAAAUACUAAUGAAGAGAAUAAAUUCUUACUUUAGUGUACCCUUUGGAGUAAACUACCCCAUUGGGGCUUUAUCCUGUUAAGUUUGUCUUUAUUAUCUGUAUUUUCAAAGCAUUUUUAUUAGUGUGUUGAACCAACCACUUAGUUGAACAGAAGAUAAAUAUUUUUAACUGUAGUGUGUUUCUGAGAUGAAGCAUACUGUGUAAUUGAGGUUUUUUUUUUUUUUUUUUGCUUCUGCACAUUAUCUAAGGAUAUGUAUUUCUUAAUUGGACCUCAGAGAAAUCCAUAUUUUUAUUAUUAGAUUUCAAGUGAACAAAUAUCUUAAUAAAGGGCAUUUGAAUGCACACCUGUGUAACUCUUUAAACGUUGUGGGCCAGUUUUACAAACGUUUAAGAGUGUGGCCUCUAGACUUACUUGUGUCAGAAUUACCUGGAUGGCUAUUGAAAAGGGAGGUUACUAAAUCGGCAUUUCCAGGGAUGAAAUUGGGGAACCGCGGUUUUUAGUGGAUUCCCGGGCAUGGGAUUUACUCUCCUCACGUGUCAGGAUUCCCCACAGGGUGUGAGAUUCUGACGGCCUGCCCUUCUGAAGCCUCCGACAAAGGCUCCUUCUCCCCUGUCCCCCCUCAGUCCUUGGACAUGGUUUGUGCUCCUGUGUGCCUGGAAGCAUGCUAGGUUUGAAGACCACAGAGAUGAGCCAGAUACUCUUCCUCCUCUUAAGGUUCAUAGCCCAGUGGAGGAGCCCCCCUCCAAAGAGAGAGGAGAAAUCCCGGACUUCAGAACAAGAGAAAGGCAUCUAAUUCAUCCCAAGAUGGAGCUAUGGGUAGGUAGGACAAACAUUACAGGGAAGGGGCGAUUUGGGCUGAGUUGAGGGAGGGAGGGAUUAUUCAAAACAUGUUUCUUUUCAUAAUUAAAGCUAUUCGUGUUUAAUGGGAAACGUGGAAAGUAUAAAGAAUAAAAUUAAGAUACCAUUAAUCCCACUGUCCAAGAUAGCCAUUAACCUUACAAUAUCUUCGUUUUGCAUUUUUCUAUAUGUAUGUGUGGGUAGGUGGGUGUAUGUGUAUUUAUUUGUACAAUUGGGAUUAUUCUGUACACUUUUUUUGUUAUGAAAUAGUUUAAACAUGCAUAAACUAAAACCAGACCCACUGCCAUCGGAUCGAUUCCAACUCCUAGCGACCCUAUAGGACAGGGUAGGACUGCCCCAUAGGGUUUCUAUAAAUCUUUACAGAAACAGAUUGCCACAUCUUUCUCCCUUGGAGUGGCUGGUGGGUUUGAACAGCUGACGUUUUGUUCCGCAGCUGAGUGCUUUAACCACUGUGUCGCCAGGGCUCCCUUAAACAUGCAUAGGACAGAGACGAUGACAAAUACCCUACUGCCUACUAGUCAGCUUUAAUAACUCUCGUCACUUGGCCGUCUUUGUUUCAGAUACGUGUGUUAGAGUUGAAACCUCUAUUCCGUUUCUUCCUGACCCUGUUCCCUUCCUUCCUGUUUCCCCCAGAGGCAACCACUGCUGUAAAGUUGGUAAAUAUCCUCCCUGGGAAUGUUUUAUACCGUGCCAUGACUACAGAUUUUUUAGUGUGUUUAAAAAAUCAUGUAAAUGAUAAACCAUAGCCGUCCUUCUGCAACUUGCUUUUUCAUUCAGCAUGUUCUCAAGAUUUAUUUGUAUUGUUAUACAUAUAUUUAAUUUAUUUUGGGAGCUGGAAAAUAUUCUGCUGUUUGAGUAUACCUUAAUGCGUUCACCCACCCCCCAGUAGUGGACAUUUAGGUUGUUGCUGGCCUUUUUUGUCACUAAGCCUGCUGCUGUGAAUGUGUGCCCAUAAGUCUCCUCACACAAGGGGCUCAUGGGCUCGUUGGGAAUUUCCUGGCUCCUUCCUUGGUAUUAUCAGAUGUCUGAGUUUUGCCAAUCUGAUGGCUGUAAACUUUCACCUCUCUUGUACCUCUUGUUUUGCAUUUCCCAGGUUCAGUUUUGUAUCCUGCUUUUUUGCUUAGUGUAAUGAGAAAUUUUUUCGUGCCGUUGAGGUUGCCUUUGUCUUGUUUCGUUAGCUUCACUGCCAUUUGAAGUGGCAUCGUUGGGACGCAGUGUGUCUUUUCAGGCCUCUUAUCUGAAGUGUUCUGGCCAUUGUUGGCUUUAUUGAAUCCUGUUUUUGAGGAUUCAGUUAAGACCCAGUCUUGCAACUUGACCAUGUUGUGGCCCAAAUUGAAGAGUGUAAUUACGGACUUAGCUAAUGAUAAACCUUGGAUGAUAAGAUUAGGAACCUUCUCCUGCUGUUUCAGUACUGUGCAGUGCAGUACAGGGAUGUGGCCUGGUAACGUGAAGUUCCUCAUAUUUUCCCUAUUAUGACUUUCCUUUGGUGAGCUACUUCCUAUCUGAUCUUUGGUAGAAGCUCUUAUAACCUAUUCAUCAUUGAGUGUUUCUUAUUUUAUUAGCUUAUUUUACCUGCUGUUCUAGGGUUUUUAUUUUUAAGAUUGAAUUUCUUUUUCUGUCUUCCCCACUUAGUAAGAACUGGACUGGGAUCGGGUCUGUAAUGCCACCGCCUAGCACAGUGCUGGAACACAGCACAGGUUUGAUACCUGGUUAGUGACGGAUGGCGAGACAUUGUACCAACGACACUUCUUUGUUGAUUCAGCCCACAUAUUUACAAACCUCUCCUUCCUUUGUUCCCAUCGUUGCCACACUAGUUCCUGCCCUGUUUCCUAAGCCUGGACUUUAGUGGACUUCCUUGCCAUAGUCUCUUGUGUUUUCAGAUCCGUCCUCCACAGUCCCGCUGGGCUAAUCUUUCUCAGACACUCACUGACCUUCACUGACUCUCCGUGGCCCAUGAGGUUCUCCAUAGUGCCACGCCUACCUGCCUUUCAGUACUUCUCAUCCUGCCUUUUCCAAACUAAGUCUGUGUUCGUCUGUGACAGGUGUUUCACCCUCUCCCCCUCCCCAGGUUUAAAUACGAGUCUGGAGCGUCGAAGGAGGGUCAGGACAAGCAGAGACUUUGUAUUAUUCCCAUGGCACUGGCAGAUGAAGCCGUAGGAUCGGAGGGGCUAGGACUGGGGGAAAAGCAGGACUCUUGUUGGGAGGCAUGUGGAGGAGUGAAAAACAGGAGGGAUGGCUGGAGAGUUAGGACAGGAACCUGGAGGGGCAGCCACAGAAACCAAAGGAGGGAGGCCCUUCCGGAUGGGAAGGAUGAUCAGCAGUGUUGAGUAUAUAUCCGGGUUGAUGAGGACAGUAAGUUCCAUGGCCUUUGAUGAGUUAUUGAUGACAGUUCUAUGUAUGUCCUUUAAAGAUUUCAAUAACGGGCAGAAGUUGAAUUGCUGACAUGCAGAAAUCAUGGCACGACAUUCAUUAGUGAAAUUUCAUUGUGAAAACUUAUUAAUAUUUUUCCCAAAUGUCAGUUGCUUAUGUAUUUUCAAAGGCUCAAAGGAUAGAGCUAGUAUAGAAGGAAAGGUUGAUAAUAAUAAAGGAGCCAGACCCUGGAGGAGAAGGGAAAAGAGGGUCCUCGGGGAUUCUGUUAGCGGGACAGGGAGGGAGGAGGAGACAGACAGGCUGAGGUGGAGGGGAGCCCCCUCAUUCAGAUCGCUUCCAUUUUUCUGUCAGGUGGGAAUUUCUCUUGUCAGCAGUGUACGAGGGCUAGCUUGAAGGGAUCCUACACAGAUGAAUCUUCCAGAAGCCCAUCUUGGGUUGUCGUAUUCCCCACUUCACGAGCCUUGGAGGACUCGUCGGGAGUCUCUGGUAUGAGCCACAGCGCCUUCACUGGUGUGCCAAGGCCACGCAGCCCAGCUCCAGUUACUCGGAGGCCUCUUGCUCACUGUGUGCCCUUGGGGACUCUGCUUCUGCUUGGGUCCUCGUCCCUUGCCUGCCGAGCUGCCUUUGCGCACACAGGCCCGUUUUUCUGCGCACUGCCUUUUCCUGCUCAGCUUUCCUCCUCUGUGUUCCCAUUACAUUUUAGUUAACUGUGUAUCUCCUCCUACAAACGUUUAAACAGAUGUUUUGUUUGUGCUUUUUUUUUUCCAAUGGUAGAUUAUAAACCGAAAGGAUUUUUAAAUCCAGGAAUAAUUUUAAAUAAUAAAAUGUAACAGGGAAACUUGAAUUAGUAUCAGAGGAUAAGCCUGCAUCUGGCAGAGCUGAGUUUGAAUCCUGGCCCUGCUUCUCACUGGUUGUGCUUCGGGUAGUUACAUUUCCUCACUUCAUUCACGUUGUUAAUUAACAUAAUGGAGGCGAUGAAACCUGCCUCUUAGGGACAUUGGGAGAUUAAAUGAGACAGGCGUGCAAAGCGUUUGGUGUGGGCCUGGCACAGGGUGAGCAUUCAGUAAAUCUCAGUACAGUUUUUUUUUUUUUUUUAAAUGACUUAUUAUGUUAGGUGGAAGUUAACACAGCAAAUGAAGUUCCCAUUUAACAAUUUUUAUGCAGUUUGUUUUGCGCCAUUGGUUAUAGUUUUCACAAGGCAUGAGCAGUCUCAUUUCCAUUCUAUUUGCUCUGUUUCCGUUGCUCUAGCUUCCCUGCCUCUCCUUGCCUUCUCAUCUUUGUGUUUCAGUAAAUGUUGACCGUUUGGUCUCAUAUAGUUGAUUAAGGGACACAUUACUCACGGGUGAUAUUGUUCAUUUUAUAAACCACUCUAUUAUUUGGCUAAAAGGUGACUUCUGGGCGUGGCUUCAGUUCCAAGUCAAAAGGGUGUUUUAGGGUGAUAAAAUCAGGGGUUCCUGUAGUCUAUCGGUCCAGUAAGUGUGGCCUUUUUUGGGAAUUUGAAUUAUGUUUUACAUUUUCCUCCCAUUCUAUCUGGGACCUUCCUUUGUGCCCCUGGUCAGAACGGUCGGUAGUGGCAGCGGGGCACCAUCUGGUUCUUUUGGCCUCAGGCUAGAAGAGGAUGUGGUUCAUGUGGGCUGUUAGUCCUGUGGACUGGUUUCCCUUUUGAGUCUGGUUUCUUUCAUUCUCUUUUGCUCCAGCGAGAAGAGACCCAUAGUGUCUUAGGUGGCUGCUCGCAGGCUGUCAAGAACCCAGAUGCUGCUUAUCCAACUGGGAUGUACAACAUCAUCUUUAUGAACUACAUUAGGUCAGUUGACUGAGUUGUGCUGUGGUCCCAACCCUCUUCACCCAGGAAACCAAUCCCUUGAGGUGUUUGAAUACAUCUAGGAGGUUUCUGUAACUGUGCCCCCAUGUGUUUUAUUAUAUAUGGAUAUAUAUGUGAACAUAUAUGCGGCACACACAAACGUGUAUCACGCCUGCACAUGCACGUACAUCCACUCACACAUGCCUCCCUGUACUUACAUAGCUACCUGUGUAACCACACAUAGUUUUUACUUGUUAGUACUGUUCUGCAAAAUUGUGUAUGGUAUAGCAUUUAUGGUAGUUGUCCUUUAUUCUUGCAUACCUCUCAUUGUCUUCAUUUACCUUGGUCAAGUUGUGCUGACUUCUGUUGUAGGGGAAAAACAUCAUAAAGUUUAGUAAAGCAAAAAGAAAGUUUUAUUUGGCAUAUAUUCAAAAAGGCAAAAGUGGGAAGUGGACAAGCAUGCUGCCAGAGGUGAUGUCUGCCCGAGUCCAAGGAAAUAUUACAGAUUAGACAAAAGUGGGAAAACAGACAAGCACGCUGCUAGAGCCGUGUCUGCCCGAGCCCAAGGAAAUAUUACAGAUUAGACAAAAGUGGGAAAACAGACAAGCACGCUGCUAGAGCCAUGUCUGCCCGAGUCCAAGGAAAUAUUACAGAGUAGGCAAGAAUGGGGAAGCCGUGUCUGCCGGAGUCCAAGGGUUGUUAUGGAGUCAUCAGUGCAUAUUAAUGAUACAAAUGGGCAAAACCAUUGAAAGCUUCACCUUUUCACAGAUUGGCUAGCAAUUGUGGUCGUACUUUGUCUUUCUUAACAAUCAUUGGUACAGGUUUCAGUAACAACAGCCAGGAGGAUCCUCAUUGGUCCAACAAAUUUUCUGUUCGCUACAUGCUAAUAGAAAAAGAUGAGAGUGGAAAGUCUUUUGUGUUCUGUUUGAUUGCCUUAUGUGAAAGAUACCCUAAAAGAUAUUUUACAAAAUGAUCCUAGCUAUUGUCUUUGUACCUCAGGGCCCAGUUGAUGUGUCCUUGCGAGUCCUUGUGAGCCCAGCUUUAGCUGGGUCACAUUCUCUAUGCUCAAAGACAGGGAAUAAUGACUCCAGUAUUAUUUCCUAAAUCACUUCUUCCAUAUUGUGUAUUACCUUUCCUCACUACAGAUAUUACCAUAUUUUAACACCUUCUACAAUUUGUUUGCCAGCUGCGUCCCCCUCACCUUCCCCAGGUAUUUUGUUCACAGCAGCACUUACAAAAAAUAUGGGGGGCAGGCAUGGCUGGCAAACAAAUGCAGAAGGUGCAGGUUAUUUGCAUAAAAAUACAAUAAUAAUGAAUUCCUUGCUUCUCAGUGAUGUUUGGUUGAACACCUGGAUGAACAGUGAGACGUAGACCAAAAGGUAGUACAAACAAACAAAAAAAACCCCUACAGGACAGAGUAGAACUGCCCCAUAGAGUUUCCAAGGAGCGCCUGGUGGAGUCGAACUGCCGACUUUUUGGUUAGCAGACAUAGCUCUUAACCACACCACCACCAGGGUUUCUAUGAAAAGCAGAGGAGAGUAGUGCUUCCGUCUACCCCCCACUUAAAUUGAGGGCCGCUAAGGUGUUUUCUGUAAACCCUGGUGGCGUAGUGGUUAAGUGCUAUGCCUGCUAACCAAAAGGUCUGCAGUUCGAAUCUAUCAGGCGCUCCUUGGAAACUCUAUGAGGCAGUUCUACUCUGUCCUAUAGGGUCGCCAUGAGUCAGAAUCGAUGCAACGGGUUUCGGGUUUAAGGUGUUUUCUUCUCUGUAUUUCCCUCCCCAGUGUCUAACUAAUACAGGCCUCUGUAUAUAGUGAAGAGGGAGUGACUGCCUCUUUAUGACUAUGUUAAUUUGUUUUCUAAAGUACCCUAUGCAAACAGGGUUUCAUUUCUCCCCAGUGAUUGCAUAGAAGCAAGUACUUACUCUAGGAUUCAGGGAGAGUCGUGUGCAUGUGGUUGUGUUGUGGGGGGAGAAAACAUCACAAAGUUUAGUAAAGCAAAAAGAAAGUUUUAUCCGGCAUGUAUUCAAAAAGACAAAAGUGGAAAGUGGACAAGCAUGCCGCCAGAGCUAAUGUCUGUUUGAACCCGGGGGAGGUUACAGAAUCAUCAGUAUAUAUUAACAUCACAAAAAUGGGUGAAAGCUUUUCACAGAUUGGCGAGAAACUCUGGUCUUGUAUUUCAAAUUGCCUUUCUUAACAAUCAUUUGUAUAGGUUUCAGUAGCCCAACAGUCAGGAGGGUCUUCCUUGGUCCAACAAAUUUCUGUUCACUAAAUGUUAAUAGAAAAAGAUAGGAAUGAAAAAGUCUUUUGUGUCCUGUUUGAUUGGCUUUAUGUGAAAAGUUCCCUAAAAAUUUUUACUUCCCUAAAAGAUAAUUUCUGAGAUGUUUAUCUCAGGGCCCAGUUGAUGUGUCCUUGUGAGUCUUUGUGGGCCCAGCUUCAGCUGGGUCACAUUUUCUUUGCUCAAGCACAGGCAAUAAUAAUUCCAAUAUUAUUUUCUAAAUCAGUUGAUGGUGUCACUUUGUAUAGCUUUUUAAAACUGACUACUGGUUGUAAUAGCACAUAGUUAGAUGUUCAUAGAAUUUAUCCAGAAGGCACAGGUUACAGAAUUAAAGUUUCUCCAGUUAAAGCCCCUCUGCUUUGUUUUUGCCUAUAAGUCUCUAGGCCUUUUGAAUGAUUUUUUUUUUUUCCUGGCCGUUUCGUUUUCAAAACAAAUGCGGAGGCCUAGACGUUUUCAUAGGACAGCUGUGUGAAGUAUAUACAGCAUAUAGCUUAUGAAGCCCGAGACGGAGUAUUACCAUAGGGAAAACCUUUUUCUUACUAAUUUUUAAUGCAUUUGACACUGUUUCUGGGUAGCUCAUCCCUCCGGUUUCUCAGUAGGAACACACAUGUCUCCUGACAGAGAAACAGGAAAAGGAGCGUGCUGUGUGAGAACUCCACAAACCGGUGUAAAUCUUUUAACAGAUUGCCCUGUUGCUCUCUAUAGCCAGUCACGUGGGGCUUUACCUCUCAUCCAUCUCUGUGGUAGUGAAUGCACAUUGAUCCUUAGUGCUAUAAAUGUGUCCUGUGUGUUCCACAGUAGUGACAGAUGACACUUUGCAGCCAAGAGAUGGGCUUGAAAUGUUUUCCAGUUGUGGUGGGGUGGCUGUUGCAUAAUUGAGCCAGUUGAAGAUAUUCCAUUGAAUGGCGAUGCAACUUUGAUCUUUGUAAACUUUUUCUUGGUUUGUUAGGUAUGCAUUCUGGAACAAUUUAUAGUAUUCAAACAACAACAACAACAACACCUAAAAAAAUCAAACCAGUUGCUGUUGCAUCACGUGCUACUCAUGGUGGUCUCACGUGUAUCAGAGUAGAACUGUGUCCUGUAGAGUUUUCAAUGGCUGAUAUUUUGGAAGUAGAUUGCCAGGCCUUUCUUCUGAGGUGCCUCUGGGUGGACUUGAACCUUCAACCUUUUGGUUAGCACAUGAGUGCAUUAAUGUUUGCACCACCCAGGGAAUCCCAUAAAACCAAACCAAACCCAGUGCCGUUGAGUUGAUUCGACUCAUAGCGACCCUAGAGGACAGAGUAGAACUGCCCCAUAGAGUUUCCAAGGAGCACCUGGUGGAUUCGAACUGCCGACCCUUUGUUUAGCAGCCGUAGUAGCACUUAACCACUAUGCCGUGAGGGUUUCUGGGAAUCCCAUAGUAUAUUUAAAAAAAAAAAAAAUUUGCCAUCGAGUUGAUUCAGACUCAGAGCAAACCCUGUAGAACAGAGUAGAUUGCCCCACAGGGUUUCCAAGGCGUAAAUCUUUGCAGAAGCAGACUGCCACAGCUUUCUCCCAUGGAGUGGCUGGUGGCUUCAUACUUCUGACUUUCUGGUUAGCAGCUGAGUGCUUAAAAGUACUGUACUUGAUAGUAUACUAGUGGUCUCUGAGAAAUAAGUAAAUAUGCCAAAGAUAGUGCUGAAGAAAUGUUUUAAAAAAAAAUUGCCUAUGGAAGAAAUUUUGGAUUGUUCUGACAAGGAUGCAAUGGAGACAAAAACAUCUUGGCAGCACCUGUUGCUAAAUGGUGCUAAGCAGGGACACUGAUGCUUGUCACGUGACAGGAAAAAAGGGGUUGAGUAAAGGAUUCCCAUUGUAGGAAAGCAGUGACGUGGAAAAGCUCAUGGGGUCGGGGGGAGUGUGGUAGCUCAGUGCCUCUCUUUUAUGAGAUGUGAGGGUGAGAGAGGGCGGGAAUCUUAGAACAAUAAGUUCUUAAAAAAUGUAUUUAAACUGUUAGUUUAAAUCACUUUCUUUUGCUGUGGCAACAGAUUACCACAAAUUCUGUGGUUUAAAUCAACACAGAUGUAUUAUUUUGCAGUUUCGUAGGUCGGGUGUCUGACAGGAGCCUCAGUGUGCUCAAACCCGAGUGUCAGCAGGUCUGCGUUCCUCUCUGGAGGCUCUGGGGACGUCUGUUCCUCGCCUCUCCCGGUGUCUGGCGGCUGCUGCGUUCCUUGGCUCAUGGCCCCUUCCUCCGCCUUCACAGGCAGAGUCCUUUGCACGUGUGUCACUUCUGCCUCCUCUUCUGCCUCCCUCUUCCACUUCUGAGGACUUUGGUGAUUACAUGGGCCCACUUGAAUAUCCAGGAUGAUCUCCCUGUUUUAAAGUCAGCUGAUUCCUAAACCAAACCCGCUGCCAUCAAGUUGAUUCCAACUCGUAGCGACAGAGUAGGACUGCCCCAUAGAGUUUCCAAGGCUGUAAAUCUUCACAGAAGCAGACUGCCGUAUUUUUCUCUCUUGGAGCAGCUGGUGGGUUUGAACUGCCAACAUUUUGGUUAGCAGCCGGGCACUUAACCACUGUGCCCCCAGGGCUUCAUCAUACCAACCCUAUAGGACAGAGUAGAACUGCCUCAUAGGGUUUUCAAGGCUGUAACCUGUACAAGGAGGAGCCUUGGUGGCGUAGUGGUUAAGAGCUCAGGUGCCAAUCAAAAGGUCAGCAGUUCAGAUCCACCAGGUGCUCCUUGGAAAGCCUGUGGGGCAGUUCUCCUCUGUCCUGACAACAGCAACAAUCUGUGCAGAAGCAGACUGCCACAUCUUCUGUGGUGUGGCUGGUGGGUUCAAACCUCUGACCUUUUGGUCAGCAGCCAAGCACUUAACCACAGUACCACCAGAAACCGUAAUUCCGUCUGUAACUCUUAAUCAUGUGAAGUGAUUAAUUUACAGGUUCUGGGAUUAAGACGUGGACAUCUUUCGGAGGCAUUAUUCUGUCCGCAAUUUGUGUAUACUUUUUUCCAUUUAAAAUCUGUAUAUAGAAAAAACUCCUUUUGGGGAGCUUUGGUGGCGCAUUAGUUGAGUGCUUGGCUGCCAGCUGAAAGGUUGGUGGUUUGGACCCAUCCAGGGGCUCUGCAGGUGAGAGACCUGGCAGCCUGCUUCCGUAAAGAUUACAGCCAAGAAGACCCCAUGGGGCAGUUCUGCUCUCACGUGGGGUCCUUGUGAGUUGGAAUUCGACUCGCUGGCCCUCAGCAACAACAGCGAUGGUUACAGUAAGAGUGCGUUCUGCGACUGUACUCCUGAGGGUUUCAGUUUUCACUGUUCUGUGCAUGGAGCAGUCUUGUUUGAAUUACGUACGAUAUUGGAAUUCAGGGAAAACUGAUCUCUCCAGCAAACAACCUGAGACGUGGUUUCAGUGUAGUCAGGCCUUAGAUUUUUGUUGCAUCACAGACGCAGUACCUAUUACAAACCCUCGGUUACAGAGGAUCCACCCUUGGAAUUCUGGAACAGCACUUGAAACCUACAAGUAGUUGCGAGGAACUUCGGUGAUGGCGGGAAGACUGACGGGUGUGGAGAGGCUCUUCAUAGGUGCAGAUAGCGUGGUCUCUGUUGGACUGUUGGUGUCUGUGACAAGCAGCCUUUUGUGGAAAGCUACUGGUACUGUACCUCAGCAGCUCUAAGGGGCGGAGCCUUUCUGAAUCUUUUUCUCUGAAUCUGAACUCCGGUAGUACAUUAUGAGCUCACCGAGGAGAGGGACUGUCUUUAUCUGGGUAUUUCCUCAGCCUAGCACAAGGGUUCUCAGACUCUGGUCUCAGGACCCUAUUUACAGUCUUUAAAAUACUACACCCUUCUUGCAUUCCUGGUGAGAGUGUAAAAUGGUGUGGCCACUGUGGGAAAGUGGUGGUUCCUCAAAAAGUUAAACAUAGAAUUACCAUGUGACCCAACAGUUCCAUUCCUCAAGAGAAAUGAAAAUGUGUUCAUACAAAAACUUGUAAACAAACAUUAGCAUCACUAUUCACAAUAACCCCAAAGUGGAAGCAACCCAAAUGCUGAUCAGCUGAUAAACGGAUAAACAAAAUGUGGUAUAUUAUUUAGCCAUAGAAAGGAGUGAAGAGCUGAUACGUGUUUACAAUGUGGAUGAACCUUGAAAACAUUAUUCCCAGUGACAAACAACCACAUGUUAUGUGAUUCCAUUUAUAUGAAGUGUCCAGAAUAGGCAAGUCUGUAGAGACAAAGUAGACUUGUAGCUGCCAGAGGAUGGGGUAGGAGGGAACAGUGAGUGACUUAGAAGAGGACUGGAAGCACUUACUGACGAAGAUCAAAGACCACAGCCUUUGGUAUGGAUUACGCCUCAACAGAAACAAAACAAAAUUCCUCGCAACUGAACCAGUAAGUAACAUCAUGAUAAAUGGAGAAAAUAUUGAAGUUGUCAAGGACUGCAUCUUACUUGGGCCCACAAUCAAGGCCCAUGGAAGCAGUAGUCAAGAAAUCAAACAACAUAUUGCAUCAGGUAAAAAUGUCACCUUGAGUACUAAGGUAUGCCUGACCUGAGCCAUGGUGUUUUCAGUGGCCUCAUAUGCGUGUGAAAGCUGGACAGUGGAUAAGGAAGACCGAAGAAGAAUUGAUGCUUUUGAAUUAUGGUGGUGACAAAGAAUAUUGAAUGUACCUUGGGCUGCCAGAAGAACGAACAAAUCUGUCUUGGAAGAAGUACAGCCAGAAUGCUUCGUAAAAGCGAGGAUGGCAAGGCUUCGUCUCAAAUACUUUGGACAUGUAAUUAGGAGGGCCAGUCCCUGGAGAAGGACAUCAUGUUUAGUAAAGGGCCAUUGAAAGAGAGGAAGACCCUUAACGAGAUGGAUUGACAUAGUGGCUGCAACAGUGAGCUCAGGCAUAAUGAUUAUGAGGAUGGUGCAGGACUGGGCAGUGCUUUGUACUGUGUUGUUCAUGGGGUCGCUGAGUUGAAACCAGUAUGAUGGCACCUAACAUCAGAAGUGUAUCUCAGUAAAAAAAAAAUUCAUUCUUUUGUACAUAGGGUCUCUUUGAGUUGGAAUUGACUUGAUGGCACCUAACAACCAAAAAAAUUAUUGAACACCUAAAGAGCUUUUGCUUAUGUCUACAGAUAUUUAUUAUUUUAGAAAUUAAAGUUAAGAAUUUAAAAAUACUGAUUUAUUUAAAAUUGCAGUAAUACACUUAUUAUAUGUUAACAUAAAUAACAUUUUUAUGAAAAAUGUCUAGGUUAUAGAAGGCAGUUAGAUCUCCUACGUGCUUCUGCAGUCAGUCUUUUGUGAUAUGUUGCUUUGGUUGAAACGUGAAGAAAAUGCAGUCUCACACAGAUGUGGCUGGAAAAGAGAAAAGUAUUUUUUUUUUUUUUUAUAGCCUUUUUAGAUACAUGUGACUAGUCUUUGAUACUGCACCAAAACUUGAUACACGCACAAAAACACCAAACCUGUUUUGGUUGAGUUGAUUCUGGCUCGUAGCUACUUCAUAGGACAGAGUGGAACUACCCCGUAGGGUUUCCAGGGAGCAGCUGGUGGAUUUGAACUGCCGACCCUUGGGUUAGCAGCCCUAACUCAACCACUGUACCACCAGGGCUCCAAAACUGGACAAGUGGUGGUUUAUUAAAGGUUAGCGGCAACGUGAACCCUGAAACCGUAUCAGAACUUCUCUUCCUGUUAAAUUAAAAUUCACUGAUCUAGUUCGUACUUUGAAUCACUUUUGUUAAUAUCAUCACUGAUCUCAUCAGAAAAAGCCUUAAUAUUGGGAAGCUUCUUUGUGGUGUGGUGAUGGAUAUGAGUUUUCUACGUGAAAGCUCAGAUUUUAUCAUUGGCAAUAAAUUCUUGGUGUAACAGGCUCACUUUGUUAAGUUUUGACAAAAUGUCUGACAGAUACCUAGGUCUGAAUAGCCGUAGUUUGUCAAUUGUUCUUUCUGGUAAAAAUGGUGUUCCAUGAAAAAAGUAGCUAGUGCAGCUUACAACUCAAACAUUUGCCCAUGUUCUUGAGUGUUUCCCUUAAGGCCAUCCCUGUAUUUUGCUAUGUGGCACGUCUGCUGCUGAGGAGAAUUUCGUAGGUGGACACCUUAUGGAUAGCACCAGGAUGUUGUCUCAUGUAGUGUCAGAAGAUGAGCCCCUCAAGUGGAAGGCACUCAAAAUACAAUGGAGAGCUGCCUCCUCAAAGUAGAGUCGGCCUUAGUGACAUGGGUGGAGCCAAGCUUCCGGGACCUUCAUUUGCUGAUGUGACACGACUCAAAAUGAGAAGAAACAGCCGACACAGUGGCUGCAACAGCGGGCUCAAGCACAGCAACGAUGAUGGGGAUGGCGCAGGACUGGGCAGUGUCUUGUUCUGUUGUGCACAGGAUCGCUGUGAGUCGGAACCGACUUGACGGCACCUGAUAACACAACAUGCAGCUUAAGUAUUCUAUGCAUAUUUCUCAUUUUGUCAAUAAAAUAUUAAAAAAGCCAAGGGUGGAGUUUUAAUAAAACGAAUAAUUUUUACUACUUCAUCAAGGGCAAUUUUUAUUACUUCAAGGACAUUCUUAAAUGAAACUGGUCUCUUUAUUUUUUUGGUCCCUGUGAUGUAUGGGGUGAAGAAUACUGUAACUAUUAGUGUAGUUUGGUGUCACUACCUUGAUCUGUACUAAGGUGUGGCAGUUUUAUCCAUCACUACUUCUGCACCAAUAGUGCAGAUGUUAGCAGUGAAAAGGCAGAGAUCCUCAGUAUUAUUAGGUAAGUAGUUUCAACUUGUAGACCCCAUGAACAGGUCUUGGACUCCCCAAGUGGUUUAGGGACCAUGGUUUGAGAACUGCUGGACUAACACAUAGUGGAUGUUAAGGACGUGUAUCCAGCUGAUAUCGCUGUUGUUUAUUGUAAGUUUUUAUUUGUAGCUCUGUCUUGUUCGUUCCAGGCUCUCAUCCCUGUACCCCAGUACUGAACAGCGCCCCAAGGGGAGGAGGGUAUCCAUAAAUAAUGGUCAGUGCGUGGACUCCUGUGGGCAGGGGCUGGAAGGAGGGCAUGUUAAAUAGCUACCUGUUGUGCUGGACGCUUAGGUGAAGGGAGCUGCUUUACUAGAUGCAAAGUUAGCUCCUUACAUGGCACCAUCUUGAAAACUUCCCCAUCUAUUGACAUUUUUUUCAAGGGUACCAAUGACUGGAGCAUUUGUAUAUUUAACCUUUGGCUGCUUGCCUACCUCUCAGAGGUUUUCAGGGGUGAUGUUUGAGCAGAUGAAGACAUUGCAGGCAGGCAUAGGAUGUGUGACUUCCAACUGUCAGCUCUUUCCACGAGCGGUGCCCCCAGGUGUCCAUCUGGACAUGCAUGUGGAGUGCGGAAGCCAGUGCAAUAUGUGUAUUGGUAGAUGGCUGUUACAGACACUUAGAGAUACCGCGAGGCAGCUGAGACGGGAAGCUGGGUAGUGUCUGGCCAAAAUCAGCCAGUGCCAAAGCUGGAACCAAGACCCAGGUUCCCGAAGUUCCAUCCUGUUCCAUUUCUGCAUAAAAACCUGAAGUCUCAGUUUUUUUUUUUCUCAGUUUAAAUAGUGAUUUUUUAAAAAUUUGGUGACAGAAUAUUUGUGAGCACUAUCUUAGUCAUCUAGUGCUGCUAUAACAGAAAUACCGCAAGUGGAUGGCUUUAACAAAGUGAAGUUUACUUCUUCACAGUAAAACCAAAAAAAAAAAAAAGAAACCCAAACCCAUUA
This is a long non-coding RNA of Loxodonta africana (African savanna elephant), 28584 nucleotides long. RefSeq lists it as uncharacterized. The record is from RefSeq and is a predicted model, not a curated record. NCBI's taxonomy places the organism in Eukaryota, Metazoa, Chordata, Mammalia, Proboscidea, Elephantidae. The transcript is spliced from 2 exons.